RNAcentral lists this ribosomal RNA (793 nucleotides) under uncultured Paracoccaceae bacterium. Its description in RNAcentral is "bacterial SSU rRNA". It matches the Rfam family "Bacterial small subunit ribosomal RNA", at positions 44 to 886 of the family's 1533-position model. The record is from RNAcentral. Lineage: Bacteria; Pseudomonadati; Pseudomonadota; Alphaproteobacteria; Rhodobacterales; Paracoccaceae.
AGGCCUAACACAUGCAAGUCGAGCGCGCCUUCGGGCGAGCGGCGGACGGGUUAGUAACGCGUGGGAACGUGCCCAGAUCUACGGAAUAGCCACUGGAAACGGUGAGUAAUACCGUAUACGCCCUUUGGGGGAAAGAUUUAUCGGAUUUGGAUCGGCCCGCGUUAGAUUAGGUAGUUGGUGGGGUAACGGCCUACCAAGCCUACGAUCUAUAGCUGGUUUUAGAGGAUGAUCAGCAACACUGGGACUGAGACACGGCCCAGACUCCUACGGGAGGCAGCAGUGGGGAAUCUUGGACAAUGGGGGCAACCCUGAUCCAGCCAUGCCGCGUGAGUGAAGAAGGCCCUAGGGUCGUAAAACUCUUUCGCCUGUGAUGAUAAUGACAGUAGCAGGUAAAGAAACCCCGGCUAACUCCGUGCCAGCAGCCGCGGUAAUACGGAGGGGGUUAGCGUUGUUCGGAAUUACUGGGCGUAAAGCGCACGUAGGCGGAUUAGAAAGUUAGAGGUGAAAUCCCGGGGCUCAACCCCGGAACUGCCUUUAAAACUACUAGUCUAGAGUUCGAGAGAGGUGAGUGGAAUUCCGAGUGUAGAGGUGAAAUUCGUAGAUAUUCGGAGGAACACCAGUGGCGAAGGCGGCUCACUGGCUCGAUACUGACGCUGAGGUGCGAAAGUGUGGGGAGCAAACAGGAUUAGAUACCCUGGUAGUCCACACCGUAAACGAUGAAUGCCAGUCGUCGGAUAGUAUACUAUUCGGUGACACACCUAACGGAUUAAGCAUUCCGCCUGGGGAGUACGGU